GUUCCGGUAUAUCAGGGGUAGAUAGUCAGAUUGCAAUUUACGUAUUACAAUCAUCUGCAGGUCACGGGUUCAAAUCCCGUCUGGAACU
Naematelia encephala is the source of this 88-nucleotide transfer RNA. It matches the Rfam family "tRNA". From Rfam's summary of the family: Transfer RNA (tRNA) molecules are approximately 80 nucleotides in length. Their secondary structure includes four short double-helical elements and three loops (D, anti-codon, and T loops). NCBI's taxonomy places the organism in Eukaryota, Fungi, Basidiomycota, Tremellomycetes, Tremellales, Naemateliaceae. The record is from Rfam.